Long non-coding RNA from Telopea speciosissima, 430 nucleotides. RefSeq lists it as uncharacterized. NCBI's taxonomy places the organism in Eukaryota, Viridiplantae, Streptophyta, Magnoliopsida, Proteales, Proteaceae. The record is from RefSeq and is a predicted model, not a curated record. The transcript has 3 exons.
UGUAGCUUUUAUAUGAAUGAACAGAUAAAGCUAGGAAGUGAGAAAAAACAAAAUGUUUCGUAGAUAGAACAUACAAAAUUUCUGGUGCGGCUGGUCCAGUGUACGACAAGGUUUGUCAUAUUACCAAUGAGGUUCUUUUUGGAUCCGGGUAUCUGUCUGCUAUGAGAUAGUUAAUGCAUCCAGCGCAGUGUACUGCAAACAGAGUUACCUGCAGUUGAAUUAAAAGGGAAAUCAUGUGUAAUUUUGACGGGGCUGAUGUGAGUAAUUAUGAGCAGUAGGGUGGAAAAAGACAAGCAAAAGGGAACUGACCCGUCGAAGACGCCAGAGUCGGAGCAUAUUGAGUGCUUUAAAACCAAAACCGCUGCUGUGAUUUGUGAACAGAAGGCUGAAAGGUUGAAGUGGUGCUGUUGAACUGACAUCGAAAAUGAAC